This 1453-nucleotide ribosomal RNA is filed under the name uncultured bacterium. RNAcentral's name for it is "bacterial SSU rRNA". It matches the Rfam family "Bacterial small subunit ribosomal RNA". The record is from RNAcentral.
AGAGUUUGAUCCUGGCUCAGAUCGAACGCUGGCGGCAUGCCUUACACAUGCAAGUCGAACGGCAGCACGGACUUCGGUCUGGUGGCGAGUGGCGAACGGGUGAGUAAUACAUCGGAACGUGCCUAGUAGUGGGGGAUAACUACUCGAAAGAGUGGCUAAUACCGCAUGAGAUCUACGGAUGAAAGCAGGGGAUCGCAAGACCUUGUGCUACUAGAGCGGCUGAUGGCAGAUUAGGUAGUUGGUGGGAUAAAAGCUUACCAAGCCGACGAUCUGUAGCUGGUCUGAGAGGACGAUCAGCCACACUGGGACUGAGACACGGCCCAGACUCCUACGGGAGGCAGCAGUGGGGAAUUUUGGACAAUGGGCGCAAGCCUGAUCCAGCAAUGCCGCGUGCAGGAUGAAGGCCUUCGGGUUGUAAACUGCUUUUGUACGGAACGAAAAGCUUCGGGCUAAUACCCUGAAGUCAUGACGGUACCGUAAGAAUAAGCACCGGCUAACUACGUGCCAGCGGCCGCGGUAAUACGUAGGGUGCAAGCGUUAAUCGGAAUUACUGGGCGUAAAGCGUGCGCAGGCGGUUUUGUAAGACAGAGGUGAAAUCCCCGGGCUCACCUGGGAACUGCCUUUGUGACUGCAAGGCUAGAGUACGGCAGAGGGGGAUGGAAUUCCGCGUGUACAGUGAAAUGCUAAAUUUGCGGAGGAACCCGAUGGCAGGCAUCCCUGGGCCUGUACUGACCCUCAUGCCAAGCUGGGGACACAGGAUUAAAACCCUGGUAUCCCCCCUUAACAUUUCACUGGUUGUUGGUCUUCCGACUCUUACAACCUACCUGAAUGACGCCUGGGGAGUACGGCCGCAAAGGUGAAACUAAAAGAAAUUGCGGGCCCCGCACAAAGCGGUGGAGGAUGGGUUUAUUUGUGCAAACGGAAAAACCUUACCCACCUUUGACAUGUACGGAAGUUGCCAGAGAUGGUUCGUGCUGAAAGAGAACCGUAACACAGGUGUGCAUGGCUGUCGUCAGCUCGUGUCGUGAGAUGUUGGGUUAAGUCCCGCAACGAGCGCAACCCUUGUCAUUAGUUGUACGAAAGGGCACUUAAUGAGACUGCCGGUGAUAAACCGGAGGAAGGUGGGGAUGACGUCAAGUCCUCAUGGCCCUUAUAGGUGGGGCUACACACGUCAUACAAUGGCUGGUACAGAGGGUUGCCAACCCGCGAGGGGGAGCCAAUCCCAUAAAACCAGUCGUAGUCCGGAUCGCAGUCUGCAACUCGACUGCGUGAAGUCGGAAUCGCUAGUAAUCGCGGAUCAGAAUGUCACGGUGAAUACGUUCCCGGGUCUUGUACACACCGCCCGUCACACCAUGGGAGCGGGUUCUGCCAGAAGUAGUUAGCCUAACCGCAAGGAGGGCGAUUACCACGGCAGGGUUCGUGACUGGGGUGAAGUCGUAACAAUGUAACCGUA